GACGGAAGGCCCUGCUUUUGUGGGGUGCUCGAGUGGCGAACGGGUGAGCUAACACGUGAGUAACCUGCCCUUGACUUUGGGAUAACUUCAGGAAACUGGGGCUAAUACCGGAUAGGAGCUCCUGCUGCAUGGUGGGGGUUGGAAAGUUUCGGCGGUUGGGGAUGGACUCGCGGCUUAUCAGCUUGUUGGUGGGGUAGUGGCUUACCAAGGCUUUGACGGGUAGCCGGCCUGAGAGGGUGACCGGCCACAUUGGGACUGAGAUACGGCCCAGACUCCUACGGGAGGCAGCAGUGGGGAAUAUUGCACAAUGGGCGGAAGCCUGAUGCAGCAACGCCGCGUGCGGGAUGACGGCCUUCGGGUUGUAAACCGCUUUCGCCUGUGACGAAGCGUGAGUGACGGUAAUGGGUAAAGAAGCACCGGCUAACUACGUGCCAGCAGCCGCGGUGAUACGUAGGGUGCGAGCGUUGUCCGGAUUUAUUGGGCGUAAAGGGCUCGUAGGUGGUUGAUCGCGUCGGAAGUGUAAUCUUGGGGCUUAACCCUGAGCGUGCUUUCGAUACGGGUUGACUUGAGGAAGGUAGGGGAGAAUGGAAUUCCUGGUGGAGCGGUGGAAUGCGCAGAUAUCAGAGGAACACCAGUGGCGAAGGCGGUUCUCUGGGCCUUUCCUGACGCUGAGGAGCGAAAGCGUGGGGAGCGAACAGGCUUAGAUACCCUGGUAGUCCACGCUGUAAACGGUGGGUACUAGUGUGGGGUCCAUUCCACGGGUUCCGUGCCGUAGCUAACGCUUUUAAGUACCCCGCCUGGGGGAGUACGGCCCGCCAAGGCCUAAAACUCAAAGG
RNAcentral lists this ribosomal RNA (836 nucleotides) under Propionibacterium sp. 409-HC1. RNAcentral's name for it is "bacterial SSU rRNA". It matches the Rfam family "Bacterial small subunit ribosomal RNA", at positions 65 to 907 of the family's 1533-position model. Lineage: Bacteria; Bacillati; Actinomycetota; Actinomycetes; Propionibacteriales; Propionibacteriaceae. The record is from RNAcentral.